CAGAGGAGCCAAGCGUUGUCCGGAUUGACUGGGCGUAAAGCGCACGCAGGCGGACGCGCGCGUGGGGUGUGAAAUCUGGCCGCUUAACGGCCAGGCGCCAUCCCAUACGGCGCGUCUGGAGUGAUGCAGAGGUCGAUGGAAUUGCCGGUGUAGUGGUGAAAUGCGUAGAGAUCGGCAGGAACACCCAGGGGGAAACCAGUCGACUGGGCAUCUACUGACGCUGAGGUGCGAGAGCGUGGGGAGCGAACCGGAUUAGAUACCCGGGUAGUCCACGCCGUAAACGAUGGCCACUCGGCCUUUGGUGGCGGAAUCUCCGUCGCUGGGGGCCUUAGCUAACGCGGGAAGUGGCCCGCCGUGGGAACUACGAGCGCAAGACUUA
RNAcentral lists this ribosomal RNA (379 nucleotides) under uncultured organism. Its description in RNAcentral is "bacterial SSU rRNA". It matches the Rfam family "Bacterial small subunit ribosomal RNA", at positions 526 to 897 of the family's 1533-position model. The record is from RNAcentral.